UACGGGGGGGGUAAGCGUUGUUCGGAAUUACUGGGCGUAAAGGGCUCGUAGGCGGCCAACUAAGUCGGACGUGAAAUCCCUCAGCUUAACUGGGGAACUGCGUCCGAUACUGGAUGGCUUGGAUUUGGGAGAGGGAUGCGGAAUUCCAGGUGUAGAGGUGAAAUGCGUAGAUAUCUGGAGGAACACCGGUGGCGAAGGCGGCAUCCUGGACCAAUAUUGACGCUGAGGCGCGACAGCGUGGGGAGCAAACAGG
RNAcentral lists this ribosomal RNA (253 nucleotides) under uncultured bacterium. RNAcentral's name for it is "partial 16S ribosomal RNA". It matches the Rfam family "Bacterial small subunit ribosomal RNA", at positions 524 to 776 of the family's 1533-position model. The record is from RNAcentral.